ACGAUGAAGAGUUUGAUCCUGGCUCAGGAUGAACGCUAGCGGCAGGCUUAACACAUGCAAGUCGAGGGGUAUAGUUCUUCGGAAUUAG
RNAcentral lists this ribosomal RNA (88 nucleotides) under Flavobacterium sp. CG_9.10. Its description in RNAcentral is "partial 16S ribosomal RNA". It matches the Rfam family "Bacterial small subunit ribosomal RNA", at positions 1 to 90 of the family's 1533-position model. Lineage: Bacteria; Pseudomonadati; Bacteroidota; Flavobacteriia; Flavobacteriales; Flavobacteriaceae. The record is from RNAcentral.